RNAcentral lists this ribosomal RNA (804 nucleotides) under uncultured Paracoccaceae bacterium. RNAcentral's name for it is "bacterial SSU rRNA". It matches the Rfam family "Bacterial small subunit ribosomal RNA", at positions 8 to 860 of the family's 1533-position model. The record is from RNAcentral. Lineage: Bacteria; Pseudomonadati; Pseudomonadota; Alphaproteobacteria; Rhodobacterales; Paracoccaceae.
AGAGUUUGAUUCCUGGCUCAGAACGAACGCUGGCGGCAGGCCUAACACAUGCAAGUCGAGCGCACCUUCGGGUGAGCGGCGGACGGGUUAGUAACGCGUGGGAAUAUGCCCUUCUCUACGGAAUAGCCUCGGGAAACUGAGAGUAAUACCGUAUACGCCCUUCGGGGGAAAGAUUUAUCGGAGAAGGAUUAGCCCGCGUUAGAUUAGAUAGUUGGUGGGGUAAUGGCCUACCAAGUCUACGAUCUAUAGCUGGUUUUAGAGGAUGAUCAGCAACACUGGGACUGAGACACGGCCCAGACUCCUACGGGAGGCAGCAGUGGGGAAUCUUAGACAAUGGGCGAAAGCCUGAUCUAGCCAUGCCGCGUGUGUGAUGAAGGUCUUAGGAUCGUAAAGCACUUUCGCCAGGGAUGAUAAUGACAGUACCUGGUAAAGAAACCCCGGCUAACUCCGUGCCAGCAGCCGCGGUAAUACGGAGGGGGUUAGCGUUGUUCGGAAUUACUGGGCGUAAAGCGUACGUAGGCGGAUCAGAAAGUUAGGGGUGAAAUCCCGAGGCUCAACCUCGGAACUGCCUCUAAAACUCCUGGUCUUGAGUUCGAGAGAGGUGAGUGGAAUUCCAAGUGUAGAGGUGAAAUUCGUAGAUAUUUGGAGGAACACCAGUGGCGAAGGCGGCUCACUGGCUCGAUACUGACGCUGAGGUACGAAAGUGUGGGGAGCAAACAGGAUUAGAUACCCUGGUAGUCCACACCGUAAACGAUGAAUGCCAGUCGUCGGGCAGUAUACUGUUCGGUGACACACCUAACGGAU